CCUACGGGUGGCUGCAGUGGGGAAUAUUGGACAAUGGGGGCAACCCUGAUCCAGCCAUGCCGCGUGUGUGAAGAAGGCCCUCGGGUUGUAAAGCACUUUCAGUGAGGAAGAACGCCUGGUGGUUAAUACCCAUCAGGAAAGACAUCACUCACAGAAGAAGCACCGGCUAACUCCGUGCCAGCAGCCGCGGUAAUACGGAGGGUGCGAGCGUUAAUCGGAAUUACUGGGCGUAAAGCGCGCGUAGGUGGCUUGAUAAGCCGGUUGUGAAAGCCCCGGGCUCAACCUGGGAACGGCAUCCGGAACUGUCAAGCUAGAGUGCAGGAGAGGAAGGGAGAAUUCCCGGUGUAGCGGUGAAAUGCGUAGAGAUCGGGAGGAAUACCAGUGGCGAAGGCGGCCUUCUGGACUGACACUGACACUGAGGUGCGAAAGCGUGGGUAGCAAACAGGAUUAGAUACCCUGGUAGUC
RNAcentral lists this ribosomal RNA (465 nucleotides) under Vreelandella stevensii. Its description in RNAcentral is "partial 16S ribosomal RNA". It matches the Rfam family "Bacterial small subunit ribosomal RNA", at positions 338 to 795 of the family's 1533-position model. The record is from RNAcentral. Lineage: Bacteria; Pseudomonadati; Pseudomonadota; Gammaproteobacteria; Oceanospirillales; Halomonadaceae.